ACUAUUAUUUCAUAAUUCUCUCUCAUUUUAGGUAGCUUGCAUGUCACAUUUUUGGGUAAUUUUCUUUCAAUAUUCUACUAUUUUUAUAAUUUUGAUUGAAUCAAAACACUUGAAAGUAAUUUACAAGAGUUUAGGGGACAAUGAAGAUAAUAUGACUUGGAUCAAUUGAAGUUCAUAAUUUGGCUUUAAUGCUUGAUGACUCAUAUCGACAUCGUCCGAGUCCCCAUUGUUUUUCCAUAUUUAUUUACAACUUUUAUUAGUCUUUUCCUUUUCUUUAAUCUAUAUCUAUUUUAAAACCACAAACUUGCAAUAUCUAUUUAUACUUUCGCCAUAUCUUUGGACUUUUUACUACUAUUAACAACACUAGUCUCUCUAAAUCAUGACUUCUUUUCCAAUUAGUUGAAUUUUAUAUUCUUAAUUUUGCUCAACCAUUCCCUUCUUACCGACGGAUCUACUUUGGGCCAACUACGUCUUCUCACCUCACGCUUGUCGUCUCGACGAUUCCACAUUUACUAAAGUGUGCAGGGUGAGAUACGAGUCAGGAGGACGGGGUCAAAAGGAAUUCAGGUGAAAAGAACGCAGGAAGUGUGCAAUGCUUAUCAUGAUGCAUGCCAUGGAACUUGAGCACGAGAUGAAAGGGAUUGCUAUAUAAUGAUUAUCUAUCUAGAGGGGCAGAAUCGUCAUUUGAAGAGAAGUAGCCCUAGGGAUUGGGGCAGACCGCCCUAUAAAUAGAAGAUCAGCAUUGAAGAAAAGAGACGCACCUUGGAGAUUAGCUCCACUCCACUCUCAUAGCUCGCUCUAGUAGUUCUUCACUUGAAGCCUUCGGCCGCUUGCCGGAGAAGGGAGUUCACCGUCCGUUCCAGCCAGUUGCCACCGUAUUUCAAGAAUUUAUCAGUUCUAUCGCUCCGAGGAGCCAAAACAAUCUUUAUUUGCUUUGUUUUCAUGAAUGCUUAAGUUUUAGUACUUGUUUACCUUGCAUUUAACGCUGAUUUUAGCUAAUCUUUUGUUGGAAACAUCGUUUGGUUUGAAUAUCGUAAAUGCAAUGGAUUUCUUUUGGUUUA
Molecule: long non-coding RNA, 1061 nt
Organism: Salvia splendens (bonfire salvia)
Lineage: Eukaryota; Viridiplantae; Streptophyta; Magnoliopsida; Lamiales; Lamiaceae
Exons: 2
Source: RefSeq, a predicted model, not a curated record